GAUGAAGAACGUAGCGAAAUGCGAUAAGUAAUGUGAAUUGCAGAUUUCAGUGAAUCAUCGAAUCUUUGAACGCACCUUGCGCUCCUUGGUAUUCCGAGGAGCAUGCCUGUUUGAGUGUCAUUAAAUUCUCAACUCUCCAACUGUUGUCAUGACUGGUGGUAGAGCUUGGACGUGAGGGUUCUGCCGGCUCCUUGUUGAGCCUGGCUCCCUUGAAAAUGAUUAGCGCAGCUUUGCACUGUCCGCUUCAGGUGUGAUAAUUUAUCUACGCCCGACUAGCGACGCGCAUGAAUGGCUUUGUGCUUCUAACCGUCUCGAAAGAGACAAUACCUUUUGAACUUGACCUCAAAUCAGGUAGGACUACCCGCUGAACUUAAGCAUAUCAAUAAGCGGAGGA
This 394-nucleotide unclassified non-coding RNA is filed under the name soil metagenome. Its description in RNAcentral is "partial contains 5.8S ribosomal RNA, internal transcribed spacer 2, and large subunit ribosomal RNA". The stretch from base 1 to 120 matches the Rfam family "5.8S ribosomal RNA", at positions 35 to 154 of the family's 154-position model. The record is from RNAcentral.